GAUGAACGCUGGCGGCGUGCUUAACACAUGCAAGUCGAACGGAAAGGCCCAAGCUUGCUUGGGUACUCGAGUGGCGAACGGGUGAGUAACACGUGGGUGAUCUGCCCUGCACUUCGGGAUAAGCCUGGGAAACUGGGUCUAAUACUGGAUAGGACCACUUCUUGGAUGUUGUGGUGGAAAGUUUUUUCGGUGUGGGAUGAGCUCGCGGCCUAUCAGCUUGUUGGUGGGGUAAUGGCCUACCAAGGCGUCGACGGGUAGCCGGCCUGAGAGGGUGUACGGCCACAUUGGGACUGAGAUACGGCCCAGACUCCUACGGGAGGCAGCAGUGGGGAAUAUUGCACAAUGGGCGCAAGCCUGAUGCAGCGACGCCGCGGGGGGGAUGACGGCCUUCGGGUUGUAAACUCCUUUCGCUAGGGACGAAGCGUUUUGUGACGGUACCUGGAGAAGAAGCACCGGCUAACUACGUG
This 467-nucleotide ribosomal RNA is filed under the name uncultured bacterium. Its description in RNAcentral is "partial 16S ribosomal RNA". It matches the Rfam family "Bacterial small subunit ribosomal RNA", at positions 28 to 507 of the family's 1533-position model. The record is from RNAcentral.